RNAcentral lists this ribosomal RNA (466 nucleotides) under uncultured bacterium. RNAcentral's name for it is "partial 16S ribosomal RNA". It matches the Rfam family "Bacterial small subunit ribosomal RNA", at positions 28 to 507 of the family's 1533-position model. The record is from RNAcentral.
GAUGAACGCUGGCGGCGUGCUUAACACAUGCAAGUCGAACGAUGAAGCCCAGCUUGCUGGGUGGAUUAGUGGCGAACGGGUGAGUAACACGUGAGUAACCUGCCCUUAACUCUGGGAUAAGCCUGGGAAACUGGGUCUAAUACCGGAUAGGAGCGUCCACCGCAUGGUGGGUGUUGGAAAGAUUUAUCGGUUUUGGAUGGACUCGCGGCCUAUCAGCUUGUUGGUGAGGUAAUGGCUCACCAAGGCGACGACGGGUAGCCGGCCUGAGAGGGUGACCGGCCACAAUGGGACUGAGACACGGCCCAGACUCCUACGGGAGGCAGCAGUGGGGAAUAUUGCAAAAUGGGCGAAAGCCUGAUGCAGCGACGCCGCGUGAGGGAUGACGGCCUUCGGGUUGUAAACCUCUUUCAGUAGGGAAGAAGAGAAAGUGACGGUACCUGCAGAAGAAGCACCGGCUAACUACGUG